RNAcentral lists this ribosomal RNA (253 nucleotides) under uncultured bacterium. Its description in RNAcentral is "partial 16S ribosomal RNA". It matches the Rfam family "Bacterial small subunit ribosomal RNA", at positions 524 to 776 of the family's 1533-position model. The record is from RNAcentral.
UACGUAGGGGGCUAGCGUUGUCCGGAAUCAUUGGGCGUAAAGCGCGUGUAGGCGGUCCGGUAAGUCCGCUGUGAAAGUCGGGGGCUCAACCCUCGAAUGCCGGUGGAUACUGUCGGGCUAGAGUACGGAAGAGGCGAGUGGAAUUCCUGGUGUAGCGGUGAAAUGCGCAGAUAUCAGGAGGAACACCAAUUGCGAAGGCAGCUCGCUGGGACGUUACUGACGCUGAUGCGCGAAAGCCAGGGGAGCGAACGGG